Molecule: ribosomal RNA, 729 nt
Filed under: Triticum aestivum (bread wheat)
Lineage: Eukaryota; Viridiplantae; Streptophyta; Magnoliopsida; Poales; Poaceae
Description: partial small subunit ribosomal RNA
Source: RNAcentral
AUGAAUUUCUUGGCCUGGAACUGUCGAGGAUUGGGGUUGGACUCGAUAGUUGGCGAACUAAGGGACCUGAUACGGUCAUACAACCCAGUAGUGGUUUUUCUUUCGGAGACAAAGAAGAAGGCGAGAGCGAUGGAGAAAAUAAAAUGGAGUUUGGGCUUCAAAAGUGGUGUGGCGGUGGAUUGCCAAGGCUUGAGCGGUGGUCUAGCUCUAUGGUGGAGGGAGAACGUGCAUGUCAAGGUGAGGCCAUGGUGCCAAUACUUCAUCGAUACGGAGAUGACUUGGGAGGGCAAGACCUAUAGAUUCACUGGUUUCUAUGGUGAGCCUAAGACGGAGUUACGUAAGAAGUCUUGGGAUGCUAUUCGCUUUUUGAGGGCACAAGACGAUCUUCCUUGGAUUUGUGCAGGUGAUUACAAGGAGGCCCUCUUCCAAACUGAUCAACUAGGAGGUAACCCGAGACCGUUUGCUCAAAUGGAGGACUUUAGGGACUGCUUGGCCAAUUGCGGGCUAUCGGACCUGGGUUUCUCGGGGUACCCAUAUACAUGGGACAAUAAAAGGGAUGGGGCUGAUAAUAUCAAGGUCAGAUUGGACCGGGUGGCGUGCACAGACAGUUUUCUAAGCAUGUUCCCAGAGACUCAUGUUGAACGUCUUGUGACGGAGGAAUCUGACCAUCAAGCAAUACUUGUUCAAGCGUUGGAGACAGCUCCACGCGAGAAAGAGAGGGGGUUUUGA